AUGAACUGUGCUCUUGAAGCAUCCUUUUCGGAGACGGCUGCAGGAGCUGGCACAUGGUCCAAUGCUCUGGGAGCAGGAUUUUGGGAUCUUGCUGUGCUGAAGGUGACUGCAGGACGGGACUGCCAAGCAUCCUCUGAUGCCGAUUCUUGCUCCAGUUACUGGUGCAAGCUGCUCACACAGGUCCACUGCCUGUGCUGCUGGAUGGACACCUUGGGACUCCAGACAAAGACUCUUCCUCAUUUAUUUCCAAAACUACAGCGUUGGUGCUCAGGAGCUGAAAGGCAUCCCAGGUACAAAGACGAGAAAAUACACGUCUAUUUUGAAAUAUACCACGUCACAGAUGUAGCCAGAGAAGAAUGAUGUGAAGGUGGAGAGGAUGCUGAAAGGAAAGGCUGAGAUAUCAACCCAGCAAUGCUGGGAUCUUCCCACUGCUUGGAAAAUGGGGUCAGUAUAGAAGAGCUCCCAUUACCUAUGGAGAAAUGAGGCACAGAACAAGGUUUCAGCCUUCCCAACAUCUCUGGGCAUCUGGAGCAGCAUUAAGAGUACAGUAAAGGGAUCUCUACUCCAGAGUGAUGUCCCAAACCUUGUUUUCCCCACCCAUUAGAAGCUGUGAUCACAGCCUCUGAAAAUUCCCUGUGGCCAGCCUAGGAAUUAUCAACCUUUUCCAGAGCCCUAUUACCAAAUGGCUUUAAAAAUGCAGCUAUCUUUUAAUUUUGCAUUUGCUAUAAAAUGUAUAAAUCAUACAGCUGCAAUUUUUUUGGCUUUGUAGCAUAAUUAAUUCCAUAGAUGUUUAAAAUCCAUGCUUGUGCCAAUCAUUGAUUGUCAAAAAAGAAAGAAAAGCAGGCUAGUUUGGAUAUCUAAAUAGUUCUCCCUCAUAAAAAAAAAGAGCCCUUAAAAACAGCCUUCAAGACCUACCUGAUUUAAUUAUCUAGUAAAUUUUCCUUUUUUUCCAGAUAAAAUUAGCAAUGAGCCUAUCGAUUUUUUGUGUAGCUGGAAAUGCAUAGGUAGAGCUAAAAUAAGGGUAAAUAAAACAUGAUGGACUCUCA
RNAcentral lists this long non-coding RNA (1046 nucleotides) under Parus major (Great Tit). RNAcentral describes it as "lncRNA (ENSPMJG00000009576.1)". Lineage: Eukaryota; Metazoa; Chordata; Aves; Passeriformes; Paridae. The record is from RNAcentral.